CCUACGGGGCGCUGCAGUGAGGAAUAUUGGUCAAUGGACGAGAGUCUGAACCAGCCAAGUAGCGUGAAGGAUGACUGCCCUAUGGGUUGUAAACUUCUUUUAUAUGGGAAUAAAACGUUCCACGUGUGGGAUUUUGUAUGUACCAUAUGAAUAAGGAUCGGCUAACUCCGUGCCAGCAGCCGCGGUAAUACGGAGGAUCCGAGCGUUAUCCGGAUUUAUUGGGUUUAAAGGGAGCGUAGGUGGAUUGUUAAGUCAGUUGUGAAAGUUUGCGGCUCAACCGUAAAAUUGCAGUUGAAACUGACAGUCUUGAGUACAGUAGAGGUGGCCGGAAUUCGUGGUGUAGCGGUGAAAUGCUUAGAUAUCACGAAGAACUCCGAUUGCGAAGGCAGUUCACUGGACUGCAACUGACACUGAGGCUCGAAAGUGUGGGUAUCAAACAGGAUUAGAUACCCGAGUAGUC
RNAcentral lists this ribosomal RNA (460 nucleotides) under uncultured bacterium. Its description in RNAcentral is "partial 16S ribosomal RNA". It matches the Rfam family "Bacterial small subunit ribosomal RNA", at positions 338 to 795 of the family's 1533-position model. The record is from RNAcentral.